AUUAACUAAUUAAAGACACUUUCUUUUUAACCUCAAAUUUUCUAAUUGUUUAAUUAAUUAUUAAAAUAAAUAGAGUAGAAUAUUUUUUUGAAAUGUAGAAUAAUAAAUGUUGGCUUUGGAAAUGAAAUGUUGAUAAAAAUAAACAAAGAUUUAUCUUAACGUUAUACUUACGUCUAUUGCCCAAGAGAAGAGAACUGCAGCGUUAAGAAAUUGCCCAGCGAAAGCGAAUACUUGGUAAGAGAGAGAUUAUUGACCGUACCACGAUAGAUUCCACUGUAAUUCAAUAAAAAAAAUAAUGUCAGCACAAAAGGAGUCAUUUCUCUAGGAAAAGAAGGUUUGGUAAUGAAUAGUUGUUCACUGUCCUGAGUGACAUUAAUGACUGAAUAUGAAUUACAUGAUUUACAAUGGUAGCAUUGGUACCAGAGAGUAGCUGAAGCGUAGAAAAAUAGAGAUAUAUUCAUUAAAGAGAUUACAUAAAUCAAGGAAACUGUAAUAAAAUUUGUUCUGCUGGAUAUCAAUGAUAAUUACCAGCCACUUGGAAGAUCAAUUAAUAAAUAACAUUUUUUUUGUUAUCAAAGGUUUGUAAUAAGUUAGCAAAUUUUAUUGUUCAAUUUUUGCAUAAACAAAGUCGUGGGCAUGAGCUAUAGUUGAUGAAUAAAAAUGAACCAGGUGUUGGAGAUAAAUAAAAUAAUAGGAAAAGUGUUGGCUAAUGAUAACGUUGAAGGAAUGAAUAAUA
Long non-coding RNA from Chelonus insularis, 736 nucleotides. RefSeq lists it as uncharacterized. The record is from RefSeq and is a predicted model, not a curated record. Lineage: Eukaryota; Metazoa; Arthropoda; Insecta; Hymenoptera; Braconidae. The transcript has 3 exons.